AACGAACGCUGGCGGCAGGCCUAACACAUGCAAGUCGAGCGCCCAGCAAUGGGAGCGGCAGACGGGUGAGUAACGCGUGGGAACCUUCCCAAUGGUACGGAAUAGCUCAGGGAAACUUGAGGUAAUACCGUAUACGCCCGAAAGGGGAAAGAUUUAUCGCCAUUGGAUGGGCCCGCGUAGGAUUAGCUAGUUGGUGAGGUAAUGGCUCACCAAGGCGACGAUCCUUAGCUGGUUUGAGAGAAUGACCAGCCACACUGGGACUGAGACACGGCCCAGACUCCUACGGGAGGCAGCAGUGGGGAAUCUUGGACAAUGGGCGCAAGCCUGAUCCAGCCAUGCCGCGUGAGUGACGAAGGUCUUCGGAUUGUAAAGCUCUUUUUGCCAGGGACGAUAAUGACGGUACCUGGAGAAUAAGCCCCGGCUAACUUCGUGACAGCAGCCGCAGU
Molecule: ribosomal RNA, 446 nt
Filed under: uncultured bacterium
Lineage: Bacteria
Description: bacterial SSU rRNA
Rfam family: Bacterial small subunit ribosomal RNA
Source: RNAcentral